AACGAACGCUGGCGGCAGGCUUAACACAUGCAAGUCGAACGCACCGCAAGGUGAGUGGCAGACGGGUGAGGAACACGUGGGAACAUUCCUUUCAGUUCGGAAUAACGUUGGGAAACUAACGCUAAUACCGGAUACGUCCUUCGGGAGAAAGAUUUAUCGCUGAAAGAUUGGCCCGCGUCUGAUUAGCUAGUUGGUGAGGUAACGGCUCACCAAGGCGACGAUCAGUAGCUGAUCUGAGAGGAUGAUCAGCCACAUUGGGACUGAGACACGGCCCAAACUCCUACGGGAGGCAGCAGUGGGGAAUCUUAGACAAUGGGGGCAACCCUGAUCUAGCCAUGCCGCGUGAGUGAUGAAGGCCUUAGGGUUGUAAAGCUCUUUCAGCUGGGAAGAUAAUGACGGUACCAGCAGAAGAAGCCCCGGCUAACUCCGUGCCAGCCGCCGCAGUAACA
RNAcentral lists this ribosomal RNA (449 nucleotides) under uncultured bacterium. Its description in RNAcentral is "bacterial SSU rRNA". It matches the Rfam family "Bacterial small subunit ribosomal RNA", at positions 29 to 525 of the family's 1533-position model. The record is from RNAcentral.